GAUAAACGCUGGCGGCGUGCUUAACACAUGCAAGUCGAACGAAGUUUUUCCUUCGGGAGAAACUUAGUGGCGGACGGGUGAGUAACGCGUGGGUAACCUGCCCUGUACAGGGGGACAACAGCUGGAAACGGCUGCUAAUACCGCAUAAGCACUUAGCACUGCAUGGUGCAUAGGGAAAAGGAGCAAUCCGGUACAGGAUGGACCCGCGUCUGAUUAGCCAGUUGGCAGGGUAACGGCCUACCAAAGCGACGAUCAGUAGCCGAUCUGAGAGGAUGUACGGACACAUUGGGACUGAGACACGGCCCAGACUCCUACGGGAGGCAGCAGUGGGGAAUAUUGCACAAUGGAGGAAACUCUGAUGCAGCGACGCCGCGUGAGUGAAGAAGUAUUUCGGUAUGUAAAGCUCUAUCAGCAGGGAAGAAAAUGACGGUACCUGACUAAGAAGCACCGGCUAAAUACGU
This 461-nucleotide ribosomal RNA is filed under the name uncultured bacterium. RNAcentral's name for it is "partial 16S ribosomal RNA". It matches the Rfam family "Bacterial small subunit ribosomal RNA", at positions 28 to 506 of the family's 1533-position model. The record is from RNAcentral.